This 743-nucleotide ribosomal RNA is filed under the name uncultured bacterium. RNAcentral describes it as "bacterial SSU rRNA". It matches the Rfam family "Bacterial small subunit ribosomal RNA", at positions 72 to 826 of the family's 1533-position model. The record is from RNAcentral.
UUGAGAGCUUGCUUUUAUUAUUUUAGCGGCGGACGGGUGAGUAACGUGUGGGCAACCUGCCUUUUACUGGGGAAUAAUCACUGGAAACGGUGACUAAUACCGCAUAAUAUUCUUAGGAGGCAUCUUCUGAGAAGGAAAGGAGAAAUUCGGUAAAAGAUGGGCCCGCAUCUGAUUAGCUAGUUGGUGAGAUAACAGCCCACCAAGGCGACGAUCAGUAGCCGACCUGAGAGGGUGACCGGCCACAUUGGGACUGAGACACGGCCCAAACUCCUACGGGAGGCAGCAGUGGGGAAUAUUGCACAAUGGGGGAAACCCUGAUGCAGCAACGCCGCGUGAAGGAAGACGGUUUUCGGAUUGUAAACUUCUAUCAAUAGGGAAGAAAGAAAUGACGGUACCUAAAUAAGAAGCCCCGGCUAACUACGUGCCAGCAGCCGCGGUAAUACGUAGGGGGCAAGCGUUAUCCGGAAUUACUGGGUGUAAAGGGAGAGUAGGCGGCAAGGUAAGCGAUAUGUGAAAGCCUUAGGCUUAACCUGAGGAUUGCAUAACGAACUAUCUAGCUAGAGUACAGGAGAGGAAAGCGGAAUUCCUAGUGUAGCGGUGAAAUGCGUAGAUAUUAGGAAGAACACCAGUGGCGAAGGCGGCUUUCUGGACUGAAACUGACGCUGAGGCUCGAAAGCGUGGGGAGCGAACAGGAUUAGAUACCCUGGUAGUCCACGCUGUAAACGAUGAGUGCUAGGUGUCGG